Molecule: ribosomal RNA, 253 nt
Filed under: uncultured bacterium
Lineage: Bacteria
Description: partial 16S ribosomal RNA
Rfam family: Bacterial small subunit ribosomal RNA
Source: RNAcentral
UACGGGGGGGGCAAGCGUUGUUCGGAAUUACUGGGCGUAAAGGGCUCGUAGGUGGCCAACUAAGUCAGACGUGAAAUCCCUCAGCUUAACUGGGGAACUGCGUCUGAUACUGGAUGGCUUGAGUUUGGGAGAGGGAUGCGGAAUUCCAGGUGUAGCGGUGAAAUGUGUAGAGAUCGGGAGGAACACCGGUGGCGAAGGCGGUUCUCUGGGCAUUACCUGACGCUGAGGAGCGAAAGUGUGGGGAGCGAACAGG